CCCUUAGAUGUUCUGGGCCGCACGCGUGCUACACUGAGUGGAUCAGCGGGUCAGGUUGCGCGAAAGUGUCUCCUAAUCUUGAAAUCCGCUCGUGAUGGGGAUUGACGGUUGCAAUUUUCUGUCAUGAACGAGGAAUACCUUGUAAGCGCGGGUCAUCAUCCCGCGCUGAAUACGUCCCUGCCCUUUGUACACACCGCCCGUCGCUCCUACCGAUUGAGUGGUCCGGUGAGGCUUUGGGAUCUGGAUGGAAAGAGCGUUUCGCUGUUUCUGCCCGGAAAACUCAGUCGAACCUUAUCAUUUAGAGGAAGGAGAAGUCGUAACA
Molecule: ribosomal RNA, 322 nt
Filed under: uncultured eukaryote
Lineage: Eukaryota
Description: partial 18S ribosomal RNA
Rfam family: Eukaryotic small subunit ribosomal RNA
Source: RNAcentral